Non-coding RNA from Podarcis lilfordi (Lilford's wall lizard), 74 nucleotides. The record is from the annotation of a GenBank genome assembly. Lineage: Eukaryota; Metazoa; Chordata; Lepidosauria; Squamata; Lacertidae.
GGAAAGUCCAUAGCUCAGUAGCAGAGCACAUGCUUCAAAUGCAAGAGCCCCAGGUUCAUUCCCUAGACUUUCCA